AAAUUGAAGAGUUUGAUCAUGGCUCAGAUUGAACGCUGGCGGCAGGCCUAACACAUGCAAGUCGAACGGUAACAGGAAGCAGCUUGCUGCUUCGCUGACGAGUGGCGGACGGGUGAGUAAUGUCUGGGAAACUGCCUGAUGGAGGGGGAUAACUACUGGAAACGGUGGCUAAUACCGCAUAACGUCGCAAGACCAAAGAGGGGGACCUUCGGGCCUCUUGCCAUCAGAUGUGCCCAGAUGGGAUUAGCUGGUUGGUGAGGUAACGGCUCACCAAGGCGACGAUCCCUAGCUGGUCUGAGAGGAUGACCAGCCACACUGGAACUGAGACACGGUCCAGACUCCUACGGGAGGCAGCAGUGGGGAAUAUUGCACAAUGGGCGCAAGCCUGAUGCAGCCAUGCCGCGUGUAUGAAGAAGGCCUUCGGGUUGUAAAGUACUUUCAGCGGGGAG
RNAcentral lists this ribosomal RNA (449 nucleotides) under Salmonella enterica. Its description in RNAcentral is "bacterial SSU rRNA". It matches the Rfam family "Bacterial small subunit ribosomal RNA", at positions 1 to 446 of the family's 1533-position model. RNAcentral also lists the same sequence under 2 other names. Lineage: Bacteria; Pseudomonadati; Pseudomonadota; Gammaproteobacteria; Enterobacterales; Enterobacteriaceae. The record is from RNAcentral.